Molecule: long non-coding RNA, 450 nt
Filed under: Lupinus angustifolius (narrow-leaved blue lupine)
Lineage: Eukaryota; Viridiplantae; Streptophyta; Magnoliopsida; Fabales; Fabaceae
Description: long non-coding RNA (LANG_LNC000111)
Source: RNAcentral
UCCUGCCACAUGCAAAAAUUCAAAUGAACUUCUGCCAAAUGCAAUUUCUUACAACCACAGUGCUUCUCAGUGAGACAUUAUCAUAAAAAUUAAAAUGACUCUAAGGUUAGUUCAUUCUUCUUUUUGUCCAGUCACAAGCAAUAAUAAUGCCUUAGACUCUUAGCAUUUAUAGAGUAGUAUCUUAUCCUAGGAUUAAUCAAUUUAGUUUGAAUUUAUUUUCAAUCAAGUUAUCUUAUAAUUUUAUCUUCUAUUUAUGUUUUAUACAAUUUACUGUUAUAUCUUUUGCCAACUUUGUUUACUUAACAAACUUUAUAGUCUGAGCUAGAAAUUAGUUGUGCACAGGAACUUACCAUAUGCUGAUAUCUGUGGUGAAAUUUCUUCAAUCGAUAUAGCCUUGAGAGCAGACGCUUGGAAAACACAGCCUCGGGUGUUUUUCGUGUCCCACGCAAC